Molecule: transfer RNA, 55 nt
Filed under: Sarcoptes scabiei
Lineage: Eukaryota; Metazoa; Arthropoda; Arachnida; Sarcoptiformes; Sarcoptidae
Description: tRNA-Glu
Source: RNAcentral
ACUCUUUUAGUUUAGAAAGAAUAUAAUUUUUUCAAAAUUAUGGAUUUAAAGAGAA